Melitaea cinxia (Glanville fritillary) is the source of this 249-nucleotide long non-coding RNA. RefSeq lists it as uncharacterized. The record is from RefSeq and is a predicted model, not a curated record. The transcript is spliced from 3 exons. Lineage: Eukaryota; Metazoa; Arthropoda; Insecta; Lepidoptera; Nymphalidae.
UUAAGAAUUCAACGGAACCUUCCCCCACCGCGCCGGCGACUGCGGGUAGCUUGGAAAAUUAGAAACGUCAAGUCAGAUGCAUUCACAUUAUUACCGACAAUAAGUUAGUCUUUAUAAUCAUAUGUUCAAUCAUUGGUAAAAGUUUGUAUAUACGUUAUCUAAAAUUAAUUAAAGUUAAUUUAAGAAGAAAUGCUACAUUUUUAUUGAAGUCAACCUCCCAAACAGAAGGUUUUAAAAAAUAGUAAUAGC